Molecule: small nuclear RNA, 101 nt
Filed under: Nicotiana sylvestris (wood tobacco)
Lineage: Eukaryota; Viridiplantae; Streptophyta; Magnoliopsida; Solanales; Solanaceae
Also listed under: 1 other name
Source: RNAcentral
GUUCCUUCGGGGACAUCCUAUAAAAUUGGAACGAUACAGAGAAGAUUAGCAUGCCCUGUGCAAGGAUGGCACGCACAAAUCGAGAAAUGGUCCGAAUUGUU